CAGGAUUAUUUGCGUACAAGCUUUACGUAGCCGAUUGAGCCGGUUUUUAAAUAUUUUUUUUUGAGUUGGAUCUCGUUGUCACCCUUUUUCUAGGGGGAGAGGAGCUUCCAUUUCCCAUUUCCUGCGAGGAUUGAGGGGCACUUCGUUCGUGGUUCGUCUCGUCAUCAAUUGACGAUGGUAUUGUUGUCGAUUUCCGUUUUCUUUUCGUUGCUAGUUGCUGUACGUGCACCUUGUUGUAUAUUGGUUGCAAUUGCUGGUUGGUUGGAGAGUAAGUUGUUAACUGCAGCUGAUGUACUUUGUUCUAUAGGAGAUGAUGAUGGAUUCGUUUAAGGGGAUGCUUCAUUGUUGUUGGUGGCUGUCACAUGUGUACUGGGGUUGCUUGGGGUUUGUGUGAAGGAAGCACCGUUGUCCUUUGGUUUAGUUGUCUCCUUGUCCAGUUUAUCACAUGGCUUACUCAAAUUUGUUAGAAAUCUCGUCAUUACUGCACCAUUACACGUUCAUUAAUAAUUCAGUAAUGACAUUUUUAAUGACUCGUGUAAGGGUCGCUAAAGAACAAGCCAAACAACAAAGAAGGUCAAACAUUUGUCAUUACAACUUGUCAGUAUCGGAACUGAUGGUUUAAAGUUAGAUUGGCGUUGUUUUUAUAUAUGUACUAGAGAUGGUCGGGUAUAGAAAUUCUUAUACCCGAACCCGACCCGUACCCGAGUGAUCAACAAAAAAAAUUAACCGUACCCGACCCGUACCCGAUUAAAAAUUUAAAAAAUUACCCGUACCCGACCCGUACCCGAUCAAUAAUAAAAAAAAAUUACCCGUACCCGACCCGUACCCGAUAAAAAAUAAAAAAUUUUACCCGUACCCGAUUAAAAAUUACCUGUACCCGUACCCGACCCGAAUGAGUAGUAAAAAGUUUACCAAAAUUUAGGAUGAAAAAAAUAAAGUGUUUUAGAUAGCGAGCUAGAUAGAGCGUAUCAGGCUCUAGUUUGUAAGUAAAAUACAUCAAAAUGCUUGUUUACAUUUAAACAUAUAAAUACACUGUGAAGCAUGAAUAGAUUUUCAAUGUCUUUGGUACUUUAUACUCAUUUACAAAUGUCAACCAAAGGGAGUAAUAUCUACUCAAAUUUUUCGAGAAGCAUAUUUAUCCAAAAUGUCGUAAUACCCGUUGUAUUCAAUUUUGGGUAGGUAUGGUUUUUACGAAACAGUGCGACUUUUGAUCCAAUUCUUUAGAACCACAAGUAAGCGUGCUCAUUAUUUUGACACACAAAUAAAAAUUCACAUUAGAAUCACUUGAAAAAUCACGAACAUCCCCUAAAAUUAAUAGAGUAUCAUCGGUUCGUUUACGUGAAUUGACCAAACAUCAAAUAAUUCACGUGUAUUCCCGGUGUGAAAAAUUCAAUUUUAAAAAUGGUGAACUGUGAGUCCUUCAAGUGUAAGUAGUUUGAACAUUUGUGAGAAAUUUUUUUCGGUUACAUUUUUUUUUACUACAAAGCAAAAUGAAUUAUGAUUUUGAUUUAAAUUAAUCUGUCAAAUAUGCCCGUUUUGUAUGCCUCACAAACCCACACCAACGAUGUUAACGGGAGCUGGUGGUUUUUACAGCCAUUGAACUUCUGUUCCACCUCCCUUGGAACCCUCAACGAGUGAACACGGUGAUAAUUUGAACAUUUCGCGUGAAAAGAUUUUCACCCCUACUUUUGCGACUGUCACGCAUCGAGAUUUUCAGUGAAAAGAAACGUAAACUAACUCGACGUCAACAUUUCAAAAGGGCCUAAAAACAAUUGACAGAUUUUCUUUGUUUACUUUCUCUUUCGACUAUAUCUGCGUUAUUAUACAAACGUUCGUUACAUAUUUGGUAAUGUUGGAAACAUGGAGAUAUUAUCUUUCAUUCUACACGAAUACUUUGUAGGUACACGUGAAAAUUAAGGAGAUAUUCACAAAAGAGAAAGUAAACAAAGAGAAACUCUCAUUGGUUUAUGUGCCCUUAUGAAAUGUUAACAUCGAACUGGCAAUAUAGCUCAACUUGCUGUGCCAUCAAUCGGUGUCAUUUCAAGUGAGGUGACACCACCCAGAAGUGAAGAAUAAGAAGAACUUCUAUGCAGAUUUUCUGAAAUAAAUGUUCAUGUUUUUAUGGGUAGAAUCCUAAUGAUUUAUAUGUAAACUUUGAAAUUCUCCAACCAAUAUUUAAAAUAACAGUUUUCUGAUAUCAGAAUGUGAUAUGAGAACUACACUACAUUUUAUAUAUUAUUCAAAUAAUUUUUACUGGAUUGUGCAUUAAACAGCUUUAUAAUGGCAGUCCAUUAAAACCUACGUGAAAAGCAGGGUCUGGCCGCAACAUCUUAGAGCUAAGGCAGUGUAGUGUGUCUUAUUAAAUAUGUUAUAAAAAAGUAGGGUGGAAAAUAUUCACAUAACUUUUCACGUAACUAUGAUUGAUCGUUUUUUUUAAUGAAGAAAAGAAAUGUUUUUUUCUGGAAAAAGAUGCCAGUUUUCAGGUCUGGUUCUAGGUGCGAAUGUCAAAAUCCCUUGAAUCAAAUUGUUUAUAUUUCGGAACAACUGUUUUGCAAAAAAAAAUUCUCGUCAACGUGAAAACAUAUUUAUGUAAAGUACAAAUGGUCGGGUAAUCGAUCAGAAAAAAAAAUUUACCCGUACCCGACCCGUACCCGAGUGAGUAGUAAAUUUUUUUACCCGACCCGACCCGUACCCGAGUAAGCAGUAAAUUUUUUUUACCCGUACCCGACCCGUACCCGAUAGAAAAUAAAAUUUUUUACCCGUACCCGACCAAAAACCCGUCGGGUACGGGUACGGGUCGGGUUUCGGGUAAAAUACCCGAUACCCGACCAUCUCUAAUAUGUACGAUUAGAGUGUCCAUAGAGUAACGACAUCUCAUCCGGUCUCAAUUGGCAACAAUUCAAAACAUUUAAUUCGAAAUGUUCGCAGUUUCGUUAGCUUUACAUUGUUGACUUUGGCAGGUCGAUUCCAAACGAACAACUGGACUUCCGGUGAGACUCUCAACGGGUGAGUACGUUGUAUUGUGUUAGUGCGGAGAAAAUUCGAGUAUUUCGCGAGAAAGAAAAAAAAAAUAUCCGUACUUUGACGACACACUUGUAUUCCAGUGAAAAUAUAGGCCACUGGACUAUAAACGAGAAUUAACUGGCAAUAUAACCUAAGUUGCACCAUAAAAAUGUUUAAUGCCCGAGAUGAGUUUAUGUAGCCCCAAGUGUAACGUAAUUAUGGACGUACACCGGGGGACGUUUUGUAAUUAGUUUCGACCUAAUAAAUUACGCGAUUCUAAAGUAUGACAAAUCUUAACUUCCUUAACAAUAUGUUUAUUUAAUCUCAUCAAGCUAAUACAUGCAGAAACCAUGUUUAUCCAUGAUAAUAUUUAUUUCCUAUUUCAGGUUGGUCCCAUUGUACUGAAAUGUUUGUUGCUAUCGAACGACAAAGCUUUAGAAACUACGUUGAAAAUUAUUCUACAUUUCAUCAAAGAUGAGGACAGCUUCUUUCGUGAUCAUCUUCAAACAUUGGUGCCACAAUUGUUGAAGCUUUCAACAUAUGAUUCAGAUAUGCAAGUACGCAUUAGAGCACUAGAGUGUUUACAUUUUGCAACGAAAUAUCCACCAUUUCUGCUACUUCCGUAUAAACAGGAAGUAGUACUAGGAUUGCAGAGCUCGCUAGAUGACCACAAACGCUUGGUUAGGAAUGCUGCAGUUACUGCCAGACUACAAUGGUUUUUGGUUGGCACCGAUAGUUCAAACGCAACAAAUGAUUAGGUGUUACUACAAGAUAUGUACAAUACAUGGGAUUUCACCUAUUUUAAGAAAGUGUACAAAAACUUGAUUUUGUAUUUUAUUUGAUUACGUUCAAAACAUUAAAAUUAAUUAAAGCAUUAUUUUGUAUAAUUGCUAGGUUCUCGGCA
Molecule: long non-coding RNA, 3907 nt
Organism: Malaya genurostris
Lineage: Eukaryota; Metazoa; Arthropoda; Insecta; Diptera; Culicidae
Exons: 2
Source: RefSeq, a predicted model, not a curated record